GAGUUUGAUCGUGGCUCAGGGUGAACGCUGGCGGCGUGCUUAAGACAUGCAAGUCGAACGGUCCCUUCGGGGAUAGUGGCGCACGGGUGAGUAACGCGUAACUGACCUACCCCAAAGUCGCGGAUAACGAUUCGAAAGAAUCGCUAAUACGUGAUGUGCUGUCAGAUUGUGUUCUGCCAGUAAAGAUUUAUUGCUUUGGGAUGGGGUUGCGUUCCAUCAGCUAGUUGGUGGGGUAAAGGCCUACCAAGGCGACGACGGAUAGCCGGCCUGAGAGGGUGGCCGGCCACAGGGGCACUGAGACACGGGUCCCACUCCUACGGGAGGCAGGCAGUUAGGAAUCUUCCACAAUGGGCGAAAGCCUGAUGGAGCGGCGCCGCGUGAGGGACGAAGGUCUUCGGAUUGUAAACCUCUGAAUCAGGACGAAAGACGCGUAAGCGGGAUGACGGUACCUGAGUAAUAGCACCGGCUAACUCCGUGCCAGCCGCCGCAGU
RNAcentral lists this ribosomal RNA (491 nucleotides) under uncultured Deinococci bacterium. RNAcentral's name for it is "bacterial SSU rRNA". It matches the Rfam family "Bacterial small subunit ribosomal RNA", at positions 9 to 521 of the family's 1533-position model. Lineage: Bacteria; Thermotogati; Deinococcota; Deinococci. The record is from RNAcentral.